This 831-nucleotide small RNA is filed under the name Rattus norvegicus (Norway rat). Its description in RNAcentral is "uncharacterized LOC108351299". The record is from RNAcentral. Lineage: Eukaryota; Metazoa; Chordata; Mammalia; Rodentia; Muridae.
UUCCGGAUGCUCGGAUGGGAAAGACGCCAGCAGGGGGCGCCACAGGGCCACGGCUCGGUCGUGCGUGCGCUAAGUCACCCGGCCGUGAGUUCCUGAGGUCGCAGCCGCCCCGCCUUGUUCGGGUUUCCGCGGGGCGUGGACAUUGGGAGGAUUGCUUCCCCUCUGCGAGUCCGCUUGAGUUGAGGACGCGAAGGCGGUCCAGCCGCGCCCCUGUGUAUUCUUAGCUGAGGAUGUCCCCGCCUAGGUAGGGUACGGUUUACGGCCAGUCCUCAACUCUGAAAAUGAGUGCGACUCGGCGUUUAAUAAAGGUAGCCAUGCUGAGCAGGGCUUCGGAGGACAGGCUCGGAAGGGAGUGGGCCGGGGAAGCCACACGCCCAGGAACCCUUGGCUGGGCACAAAAGGAAACUGACCGGGACUCACCUGGGUCACGGCUGCCACCCUGCGGACAGGAAGCUUGGAAGGUGUAUUUUUGUUUUUACCUGCAUGUCUGCAUCAAGUGCGUGCAGUGCCUGUGGAAGCUGAAAGAGGUCGGACGCAUUGGAACUGGAGUUACAGAUUGUUGUGAGCCACCAAGUGGGUGUUGGAUUUCCAGUUAGCACCAUGGCUCAGUGGGUAGAGAAGCUGAAAAGCCUGGUCAUCUGAGUCUGAUCCCUGGAACCCACAUAAAGCGGAAGGAAGGAAUCCAGUGCACAGAACCGUCCUCUCACUUCCACACGAGUGAUUUUGGCCCCCGCGUGUGCACACACACUGCGUUUACAUACACAACAAUAAGUAAAUCAGCUAUAGUUCUUAGAGACGGCUUAAUAUGUGGUCCAUCUUUGUGAAGGUCCA